RNAcentral lists this ribosomal RNA (240 nucleotides) under Bacillus pumilus. RNAcentral's name for it is "partial 16S ribosomal RNA". It matches the Rfam family "Bacterial small subunit ribosomal RNA", at positions 1 to 231 of the family's 1533-position model. The record is from RNAcentral. Lineage: Bacteria; Bacillati; Bacillota; Bacilli; Caryophanales; Bacillaceae.
UUUUCGGAGAGUUUGAUCCUGGCUCAGGACGAACGCUGGCGGCGUGCCUAAUACAUGCAAGUCGAGCGAACAGAAGGGAGCUUGCUCCCGGAUGUUAGCGGCGGACGGGUGAGUAACACGUGGGUAACCUGCCUGUAAGACUGGGAUAACUCCGGGAAACCGGAGCUAAUACCGGAUAGUUCCUUGAACCGCAUGGUUCAAGGAUGAAAGACGGUUUCGGCUGUCACUUACAGAUGGACC